RNAcentral lists this ribosomal RNA (275 nucleotides) under uncultured bacterium. RNAcentral describes it as "partial 16S ribosomal RNA". It matches the Rfam family "Bacterial small subunit ribosomal RNA", at positions 523 to 796 of the family's 1533-position model. The record is from RNAcentral.
AUACGGAGGAUCCAAGCGUUAUCCGGAAUUACUGGGCGUAAAGAGAUGCGUAGGUGGUUUUUUAAGCAAAAUGUGAAAUCACGGGGCUCAACCUCGUGGCUGUAUUUUGAACUGAUCAACUUGAGAAUGGUAGAGGUAACUGGAAUUCCUAGUGUAGGAGUGAUAUCCGUAGAUAUUAGGAGGAACACCAAUGGCGAAGGCAGGUUACUGGGCCAUUUCUGACACUGAGGCUCGAAAGCGUGGGGAGCAAACCGGAUUAGAAACCCGAGUAGUCC